CCGCGGUAUUUUGACCGUGCUAUGGUAGCAUAAUCAUUAGUUUUUUAAUUGAAAGCUGGAAUGAAGGGCUGAAUGAAAAAAAAACUGUCUCUAAUUAAUUAUUUUAGAAUUUUAUUUUUAAGUUAAAAAGCUUAAAUUUUAUUAAAAGACGAGAAGACCCUAUAGAGUUUAAUAAUUUUAUACUAUAAAAAAUUUGGAAUUAAUAUUUUUAUUUUUAUAUAAUUAUUUGAUUGGGGUGAUUAAAAAAUUUAAUAAACUUUUUUAUUUAUUUAUAUUAAUUAAUAAAUAAUUUGAUCCAAAAAUUUUGAUUAUAAGAUAAAAUUACCUUAGGGAUAACAGCGUAAUUUUAUUUGAGAGUU
This 359-nucleotide ribosomal RNA is filed under the name Galerucella nymphaeae (water lily leaf beetle). RNAcentral describes it as "partial 16S ribosomal RNA". The record is from RNAcentral. Lineage: Eukaryota; Metazoa; Arthropoda; Insecta; Coleoptera; Chrysomelidae.